Molecule: ribosomal RNA, 667 nt
Filed under: Pseudomonas brenneri
Lineage: Bacteria; Pseudomonadati; Pseudomonadota; Gammaproteobacteria; Pseudomonadales; Pseudomonadaceae
Description: bacterial SSU rRNA
Rfam family: Bacterial small subunit ribosomal RNA
Source: RNAcentral
ACACAUGCAAGUCGAGCGGUAGAGAGAAGCUUGCUUCUCUUGAGAGCGGCGGACGGGUGAGUAAUGCCUAGGAAUCUGCCUGGUAGUGGGGAAUAACGUCCGGAAACGGACGCUAAUAACGCAUACGUCCUACGGGAGAAAGCAGGGCACCUUCGGGCCUUGCGCUAUCAGAUGAGCCUAGGUCGGAUUAGCUAGUUGGUGGGGUAAUGGCUCACCAAGGCGACGAUCCGUAACUGGUCUGAGAGGAUGAUCAGUCACACUGGAACUGAGACACGGUCCAGACUCCUACCGGAGGCAGCAGUAGGGAAUAUUGGACAAUGGGCGAAAGCCUGAUCCAGCCAUGCCGCGUGUGUGAAGAAGGUCUUCGGAUUGUAAAGCACUUUAAGUUGGGAGGAAGGGCAGUAAAUUAAUACUUUGCUGUUUUGACGUUACCGACAGAAUAAGCACCGGCUAACUCUGUGCCAGCAGCCGCGGUAAUACAGAGGGUGCAAGCGUUAAUCGGAAUUACUGGGCGUAAAGCGCGCGUAGGUGGUUCGUUAAGUUGGAUGUGAAAUCCCCGGGCUCAACCUGGGAACUGCAUUCAAAACUGACGAGCUAGAGUAUGGUAGAGGGUGGUGGAAUUUCCUGUGUAGCGGUGAAAUGCGUAGAUAUAGGAAGGAACACCAGU